RNAcentral lists this ribosomal RNA (492 nucleotides) under uncultured bacterium. Its description in RNAcentral is "partial 16S ribosomal RNA". It matches the Rfam family "Bacterial small subunit ribosomal RNA", at positions 29 to 507 of the family's 1533-position model. The record is from RNAcentral.
AGUGAACGCUGGCGGUAGGCCUAACACAUGCAAGUCGAACGGCAGCACAGUAAGAGCUUGCUCUUACGGGUGGCGAGUGGCGGACGGGUGAGGAAUACAUCGGAAUCUACUUUUUCGUGGGGGAUAACGUAGGGAAACUUACGCUAAUACCGCAUACGACCUACGGGUGAAAGCAGGGGAUCUUCGGACCUUGCGCGAUUGAAUGAGCCGAUGUCGGAUUAGCUAGUUGGCGGGGUAAAGGCCCACCAAGGCGACGAUGCGUAGCUGGUCUGAGAGGAUGAUCAGCCACACUGGAACUGAGACACGGUCCAGACUCCUACGGGAGGCAGCAGUGGGGAAUAUUGGACAAUGGGCGCAAGCCUGAUCCAGCCAUACCGCGUGGGUGAAGAAGGCCUUCGGGUUGUAAAGCCCUGUUGUUGGGAAAGAAAAGCAGCAGGUUAAUACCCCGCUGUUCUGACGGUACCUAAAGAAUAAGCACCGGCUAACUUCGUG